UUGAACGCUGGCGGAAUGCUUUACACAUGCAAGUCGAACGGCAGCACGGGGUCAACCCUGGUGGCGAGUGGCGAACGGGUGAGUAACACAUCGGAACGUGUCCUGUAAUGGGGGAUAACUUGGCGAAAGCCAGGCUAAUACCGCAUACGUCCUGAGGGAGAAAGCGGGGGAUCGCAAGACCUCGCGUUAUAGGAGCGGCCGAUGUCGGAUUAGCUAGUUGGUGGGGUAAAGGCCUACCAAGGCGACGAUCCGUAGCGGGUCUGAGAGGACGGCCCGCCACACUGGGACUGAGACACGGCCCAGACUCCUACGGGAGGCAGCAGUGGGGAAUUUUGGACAAUGGGCGCAAGCCUGAUCCAGCCAUGCCGCGUGAGUGAAGAAGGCCUUCGGGUUGUAAAGCUCUUUCGGCCGGGAAGAAAUCGCAUCCUCUAAUACGGGGUGUGGAUGACGGUACCGGAAGAAGAAGCACCGGCUAACUACGU
This 482-nucleotide ribosomal RNA is filed under the name uncultured bacterium. RNAcentral's name for it is "bacterial SSU rRNA". It matches the Rfam family "Bacterial small subunit ribosomal RNA", at positions 29 to 506 of the family's 1533-position model. The record is from RNAcentral.